CACGCCCAGUCAGCAGUCUGUCAUAUACAGUGCCUACCAUACAGCCACUUACGACACCUGAACAGAUUGGUGUUGCUUAAAGGACCAAACAGGAACUUUAUUCAGCCGCUGAACCUGGACCCGGUUUGACAAGUUCAGAAGCGCCCCCCCCUGCAGAAAGUACCAAAACUGUGAAGAGCUUUUUUGAAAAGACAAGGUGGGGAGAUGUUGCAGGAAGCAUCUUCUACACAAGAGGUUGACAUCAAACUACCAGAUGAUGAAUUUGGUACUUUCCAAAAGUUGCCAGAGUGAUGACAUACCUGAUCAUGAGAAAGGAACAUGGAUAUCUUUCCUGAAGUGCCAUACUCAUUCCAAAUGUAUCAAUGUAGCCAUGCAAACUGGUUGAUAAAAGUACCCAAAAUGACAGUACCCCCACAGACAGUUGGAACGCAGACUGAUCCCAUUGGGUUUUUUUCAUUUGGUGAAAAUGCUUCUAGUACUCCCCGAAAGCAGAACCAGAAUACUGCAAUAUCAUUGUUUAGUCCAAUAAAACCACUGGAUCGAAGUGAAGAUACAAACCUGAAUGAUGCAAAGGACACAGAAUAUCAACCUCUGAAUAUUUCAUUACAGGAUACAGAGAAGGAAGUUAUGUAUGACAAAACCGAAGCGGAAAAAGAAAAACCACCGCCGUUGGACCCUGUCACUGAAAGGAACUACAUAUUUUUGAGAAACAUUUGUUGAAUCUGUUUGAUAUAUGUCCACUAUGUACUUGCUAAAGUCAAGGUCACAUCAAAAAAAAAAACCUGACUGUGGAUAUGGAACAAUGAUACGCAUUAAACAGAAAUGCACAAGCUGCUCCUUUUCCAGAACAUGGGACAGUCAACUAAUGUUGAACAAGAUUCCAGUUGGUAACCUAAUGUUGUCGGCAACCGUUCUAUAUUCUGGUUGUCAGAUAAGUCCUAUAUUAUGUAUGCUGCAAAUAAUGAACGUUUUAUCCAAUAGCAGACAAACAUUUCAGUGCAAAUGUGAUGAAACAUCUAUACAAAAUGUAAGCAUGCAGUUCAAUAACAAUGCUAUGAUUCUA
Syngnathoides biaculeatus (alligator pipefish) is the source of this 1063-nucleotide long non-coding RNA. RefSeq lists it as uncharacterized. The record is from RefSeq and is a predicted model, not a curated record. The transcript is spliced from 3 exons. Lineage: Eukaryota; Metazoa; Chordata; Actinopteri; Syngnathiformes; Syngnathidae.